Camellia sinensis is the source of this 595-nucleotide non-coding RNA. The record is from RefSeq and is a predicted model, not a curated record. NCBI's taxonomy places the organism in Eukaryota, Viridiplantae, Streptophyta, Magnoliopsida, Ericales, Theaceae.
UUGAAGCCCUCUUAACUGUUUGGAUUUAUGACGCAGGGUCAAUAAUUUUAACUCUUCUAUAAUAGUUGGAUCUCUAAAUCUGGACCUGCCUAAACUAGUUAGAGUUCUACAUUUGUAAAUAUAGUGAUGACUUAGACGGUCAUGAUCAUGGACACAACAAUGGAAUGUUUAUUUAAUUAAUGGAAGUUCUAUUGUGACUCUUAAGUUGUGACUUUUGAUAAGCCAUCUAUAUUUUCUUUGUUGUUCCAUUUUUUAUUUCCAUUUUUUAUAACCUUCUGGUUGAGGUAGUGGGUGAUGGACUCAACAUCUCUCCCUACUAUUCUAGAUAUAUAUAUAUAUAUAUUCCAUUUCUGUGCACUCUAAUCAUGCCCAAAUUUAUUACUUAAUGUCCUAAUUUAGACGAUUCUUCAGGAUCAUAUUCACAACUAGCGGAAGACUACUCUAAUCCUAACAUCCAUUCUGUUUCUGGCAGCUGGAAUAUGGUUUAUAGGGAUCUUUAUAAGAUUUUCACAAAGCCGUUGAGCAUCCCAAUCUUUAUAAGGUACAGGUAGUAUGCCACCCCCAAGGACAUAGCUUGGAUGAUGAUGAGAGUUGA